Molecule: ribosomal RNA, 339 nt
Filed under: Triticum aestivum (bread wheat)
Lineage: Eukaryota; Viridiplantae; Streptophyta; Magnoliopsida; Poales; Poaceae
Description: partial small subunit ribosomal RNA
Source: RNAcentral
AUGGUGACUACAAAGAAGCAUCUUUCUUAUCCUUUAGUAUACCGACUUGUAAAGCUAGCACUUACUUUGCCUGUUGCCACUGCAACCGUUGAGAGGUGCUUCUCAGCUAUGAAGACUGUGAAGAAUGCUCUACGUAGCAAAAUUAGUGAUGAUUUUAUGAACCAUGGCCUUAUCUGCUUCGUAGAAAAAGAAUUGUUGAACAACAUUCCAAAUGAAGUGAUAGUUAAAUGUUUUCAUGCCGUGAAAGAACGUCGUGGGAUGAAACCGAAGGUAAUGCUCGGCCUAAAGCUCUUACUGUUUUUGUUAAUAUCAGCCUUCUUCAAUGUUUCCACCCUCUAA